AACGAACGCUGGCGGCAUGCCUAACACAUGCAAGUCGAACGAUGCCUUCGGGCUUAGUGGCGCACGGGUGCGUAACGCGUGGGAAUCUGCCUUUCGGUUCGGAAUAACUCAGGGAAACUUGAGCUAAUACCGGAUAACGUCGCAAGACCAAAGAUUUAUCACCGAAAGAUGAGCCCGCGUAGGAUUAGCUAGUUGGUGAGGUAAAGGCUCACCAAGGCGACGAUCCUUAGCUGGUCUGAGAGCAUGAUCAGCCACACUGGGACUGAGACACGGCCCAGACUCCUACGGGAGGGAGCAGUGGGGAAUAUUGGAGAAUGGGCGAAAGCCUGAUCCAGCAAUGCCGGGUGAGUGAUGAAGGCCUUAGGGUUGUAAAGCUCUUUUACCCGGGAAGAGAAUGACGGUACCGGGAGAAUAAGCCCCGGCUAACUCCGUG
Molecule: ribosomal RNA, 433 nt
Filed under: uncultured bacterium
Lineage: Bacteria
Description: partial 16S ribosomal RNA
Rfam family: Bacterial small subunit ribosomal RNA
Source: RNAcentral